RNAcentral lists this ribosomal RNA (1506 nucleotides) under metagenome. RNAcentral's name for it is "bacterial SSU rRNA". It matches the Rfam family "Bacterial small subunit ribosomal RNA". The record is from RNAcentral.
AGAGUUUGAUCCUGGCUCAGGACGAACGCUGGCGGCGUGCCUAAUACAUGCAAGUAGAACGCUGAAGAGAGGAGCUUGCUCUUCUUGGAUGAGUUGCGAACGGGUGAGUAACGCGUAGGUAACCUGCCUUGUAGCGAGGGAUAACUAUUGGAAACGAUAGCUAAUACCGCAUAACAAUGGAUGACCCAUGUCAUUUAUUUGAAAGGGGCAAAUGCUCCACUACAAGAUGGACCUGCGUUGUAUUAGCUAGUAGGUGAGGUAACGGCUCACCUAGGCGACGAUACAUAGCCGACCUGAGAGGGUGAUCGACCACACUGGGACUGAGACACGGCCCAGACUCCUACGGGAGGCAGCAGUAGGGAAUCUUCGGCAAUGGGGGCAACCCUGACCGAGCAACGCCGCGUGAGUGAAGAAGGUUUUCGGAUCGUAAAGCUCUGUUGUAAGUCAAGAACGAGUGUGAGAGUGGAAAGUUCACACUGUGACGGUAGCUUACCAGAAAGGGACGGCUAACUACGUGCCAGCAGCCGCGGUAAUACGUAGGUCCCGAGCGUUGUCCGGAUUUAUUGGGCGUAAAGCGAGCGCAGGCGGUUUGAUAAGUCUGAAGUUAAAGGCUGUGGCUCAACCAUAGUUCGCUUUGGAAACUGUCAAACUUGAGUGCAGAAGGGGAGAGUGGAAUUCCAUGUGUAGCGGUGAAAUGCGUAGAUAUAUGGAGGAACACCGGUGGCGAAAGCGGCUCUCUGGUCUGUAACUGACGCUGAGGCUCGAAAGCGUGGGGAGCGAACAGGAUUAGAUACCCUGGUAGUCCACGCCGUAAACGAUGAGUGCUAGGUGUUGGAUCCUUUCCGGGAUUCAGUGCCGCAGCUAACGCAUUAAGCACUCCGCCUGGGGAGUACGACCGCAAGGUUGAAACUCAAAGGAAUUGACGGGGGCCCGCACAAGCGGUGGAGCAUGUGGUUUAAUUCGAAGCAACGCGAAGAACCUUACCAGGUCUUGACAUCCCGAUGCUAUUUCUAGAGAUAGAAAGUUACUUCGGUACAUCGGUGACAGGUGGUGCAUGGUUGUCGUCAGCUCGUGUCGUGAGAUGUUGGGUUAAGUCCCGCAACGAGCGCUACCCCUAUUGUUAGUUGCCAUCAUUCAGUUGGGCACUCUAGCGAGACUGACGGUAAUAAACCGGAGGAAGGUGGGGAUGACGUCAAAUCAUCAUGCCCCUUAUGACCUGGGCUACACACGUGCUACAAUGGUUGGUACAACGAGUUGCGAGUCGGUGACGGCAAGCUAAUCUCUUAAAGCCAAUCUCAGUUCGGAUUGUAGGCUGCAACUCGCCUACAUGAAGUCGGAAUCGCUAGUAAUCGCGGAUCAGCACGCCGCGGUGAAUACGUUCCCGGGCCUUGUACACACCGCCCGUCACACCACGAGAGUUUGUAACACCCGAAGUCGGUGAGGUAACCUUUUGGAGCCAGCCGCCUAAGGUGGGAUAGAUGAUUGGGGUGAAGUCGUAACAAGGUA